Molecule: long non-coding RNA, 4035 nt
Filed under: Homo sapiens (human)
Lineage: Eukaryota; Metazoa; Chordata; Mammalia; Primates; Hominidae
Description: HSALNT0272269
Source: RNAcentral
UACAUUUAAAACAAGAAUAAAUCAUAUUCUUUGUUUUUCCUUUUGUCCUGGAAAUUCUAAAAUAUUUACCAUAUGGUCCUUUGCAGAAAAUGUUUGCCAACUCCUGUUCAAUGGGACUUUGAAUGAAAAGACAAGUUUUCCACCCCAAUAUAACCAAUAUACAAUGAUACAUCAUUUUAAAAAUGUAAUUCUAAAAAGGGAUUGUUGGGUGACACUCUUACAUGAAUUUUGUCCUAAUAUUGGUCUUUGUGAGGGUGGUGGCCAAUGCUCCUUGGAAUGUCCUGCCUAUUCUUUUUUCCUAAUGUGGCCUUACGUAAACUGAGGUCAUGGAAGCAUGAAAUCCAAAAUUUUCUAACAAGGCUUCCAAGGGUGGAUCUUAUUUGUUUCAGUAGAACAAAACUUGCUAUUCUAAUGGUCUCUCCACUUUUCCUUCUGCCUCUGAGCAAGAUGAAGAAAAAAAGAUGAAGCUGUUUUCCAGAGACCAGCACUUCAUCCCUGAGAAAAUGUCAAGAUUAUAGGCAUGCUCUAUAGAAGAUAAUGAGUUAAUACCGAAUGGCUAAAUCAGGGGAGUAUUUGAUUGGGGUUCCCAGAAACCAACAAGAUGUGGAUUCAUAUUCAAAUGCUUCCAGGAGAAUCAAGUAAGGAAGUUAAGAAAGAGAAAGAAAGGAAACAAAGGUUUUAUUAGUCCAUUUUCCCAUUGCUGAUAAAGACAUAACUGAGACUGGACAAUUUACAAAAGAAAGAGGUUUAAUGGACUCAGAGUUUCACAUGGCUGGGGAGGCCUCACAAUCAUGGUGGAAGGUAAAAAGCACGUCUCACGUGGUGGCAGACAAGAGAAGAGAGAACUUGUGUAGGGAAACUCCUCUAUAUAAAACUGUCAGAUCUUGCGAGACUUAUUCACUAUCACAAGAAUAGCACGGGAAAGACCUGCCCUCAUGAUUUAAAUACCUCCCACUGGGUUCCUCCCACAACAUGUGGAAAUUGUGGGAGCUACAAUUCAAGAUGAGAUUUGGGUAGGGAUACAGCCAAACCAUAUCAUAGGGGAUGUCCCUCUCCUAUUAACAUUUUUUAAAAUUAAGCCCUUAGUGAAUCCACUAUCCUGAAGUUCUUCCAUCCUACUGUUCUCAAAGCAGACACUAAAACUAAGGCUUAAAUGCAAAUGGUUUAUUUUGGUCUGUGAUUGGGAAUUAAAGGAAAAAGGAGUGAAGGUAACCAGGAGGCACUCUGGAAUUGAGUUGAUGCCACUGUGAACAACUGGGCUUGGAUUCUACUGGGCACUUCUGAGAUGCUCUUAAAAAUGCACCUCAGAAUUGUCUGCUCAACUUCACUGCAGGAAGGGAGGAUUAGCUCUUGGGCUCCCCUUCUCCAUUUAAUAAAUUUUGCCUCACCGGGCAUUAGCUCCCUCAUAAGCCCAAGUUGCACAAGGGCCAGAGGUAAAAGGCAUACAAUGCAGCUGAAGUGAAGUGCCACCACAUAACACUUGUGCAAAACUGGUGGCUGUGGCAAAAAUUAAAGAAAAGGUGAUCCAUGCAGAUGUGAGCAGGGGACAAGAGUGUCUUACAUAGCCUGCUAUACUUGGAGAGAACAGAAAAUGUAUCAUAAUGCUCCAGCCAUUUCAUUUGAGUCUCAUGCUGAACAAACCUGCUUCCUCAGCACAGUGAAUGAACUCUCAGCUCUGCUAUAUUUGCUAUUUUAAUACUUGAGAUAUGCUUCUUCUAUGGAAGAUCCACAUGUAUUGACUCUCCCUCUAUAGGAUGAACACUUACAUAUUUUGACAGUUAAUGAUAGGUGUCAACUUGGCUGGAUCAAGGAAUGUCUAGAAACCUGGUACAGACUUCUUCUGGGGUCUGUCUGUGAGGGUGUUUUCCCGAGAAGAUUUACAUGUGAGUUUGAGUGGACUAAGCAGGAAGAUCUGCCCUCAGUGUGGGCAGGCAUCAUCCAAUCUACUGGGGAUCCAAAGAGAACAAAAAUAGAGAAUAGGUGUAUGUGUCAAUCUAUCUGCUACAACAAGAAUACACUCUUUCUCUCCUGUCCUUGGACAAAUCUGGGCUCCCCAGCCUUUGGACUUAAGAUUUGAACUCCAAAACUUAAGACCAGUGUCCUCCCAGGUUCUCACACCUUUGGCCUCAGACCCUGAGUUACACCAUCUGUUUUCCUGGUUCCAGGCCUUUGGACUUAGACUGAGUCAAGCUACUGGCAUCUCAGGGUCUCCAGAUUGCAGGUGACCUGUCAUGGGACUUCUCAGCCUCUAUAAUCACAUAAACCAAUCCCCUCAUAAUUCCUGUCUCAUAUAUUUCUAUCUAAUCCUAUUGAUUCUGUCCCUCUGGAAAACCCUGACUGUAUCAGUGUUGAUUUAUAAUUUUUUAAAAUAGUCGCAGAAAUUCAUUUGGGAGAGUAAUUUUUGAUAUCCUCUUAAAAAGUAGGGAACUGAGAUCAAAUAACUUGUCCAAAGUUCCUUUGUAACUUUGCCCUUAGUGUCAAUAUAGUCAGCCCUCCAUAUCUGCAUAUUCAACCAACACUGAAGUAGCUUUAUUGAGUACAAAUGUUCCUUUUACAUUUUUUAAGCACUUGGAAGUUCUCUGAAAAAAAUAAAUAAAUCUGCUAAAAACACAAAUUUUUAUUGGCUUAAAGUAAAUUUUGGUUUUUUGAUUACAUUUUACUAAAAAAAGAUGCCAAAAUAUACUAAUCCUGAAAGAAGAUCUGAUGAGAGAAAAAUAACCAAUAAACUUAAGUCUGCAGCCAUUCUAAGGGCAUUCUGCUACUUUUACUUCCAAGACAAGAAUGAUUUAUCAUUAAAUAUAGUUGAAACUUUAUGGUCUUAUUUGGCUGUUUACCUCACUCACAAAAAUAACUGCCCUAUACAUGACUGUAUUUCAUUGUCCUAAUCUGGUUUCAUGUUUUUUGUUGUUAUUAUUUAGUGUAAAAACUGAAUGCUAACCCAUGUUCAUAUGUGCAUUUUUAAAAGCUAUACCUGUUGAAAUGUUGGAUAUUUUCACUAGCUCUCUUUUAGUCAUAUUAGCCUGUAAAAGUUUAUUGAAGACUAUUCAAUUACUGUACAUUGUUUCCUGCAAAAAAAAGUAUUGAAUUUUUUUCUGACCUCCCUUACUGAGAAUAAUGAAGACCUAGGAGAAUAAGGUACUUAUAUUUCAAAGUCUCUUAAAGUUAUUGCAUUUAUUUUCUUUCACAAAACAAAAGAAAGCAGGAAAGCAAAACCUAGUUUAAAUGAGUUGUUUUAACUAACUACUUCUUGACAGCUAAGAAAAAUUUCUUCCCAGUUGCCUUCUUUCCAACGUACACCAUCUAAUUCUUUCAUAGACAGUAAGAACACAUGGAGAGUGGGGAAGAAUGUAGCUUGCAGAAUUUAGUGAUUUAAUUGGUGGCCUUCUCAAGGGGUGCUACUGGAAUUUAGGCAGUUUCUACCAAAGUCACCCAAAACCGAACUUGAACUGGCUGCAUGAAGUUUUCCUACAUGUUUGUCAUCAAGAGUUCAAGCCGCUGCAGCACUUAGAGACCUGACCAUUCUACUGAAGAAAAGAAAUACUAUAGUAAACUCUAGUUGGUUGUGAAAUGAAUGUUUUCAAUUGCUAGAAGCUAAUGAUAAAAUUUUUCUAGUAAUACAUUGAUUUUUACAUUUACAGAUUUCCAUAGGAUUGACAAAGAUGCCUCUUCAUUUUUGAGAAAAGUCCCUUCAUUGCAAUAUUUUAUGAAAAGUUCUAUGUGUAACUAUUUGGUACAAAGUGUAAAUUUAGGUCUUCUUAAAAUGACUCUACCCUUAAAUAAUUUUGUUUUCAAGGGUCACGUCUCUUGGGUAAUGACUAACGUUCUCCUAGUGAUUAGUAAUAACAAUUAUGUAGAAUGGUGAUUCUUGGUGACUUUCUGUCCCACUGAAUGAAACAACAUAUUUCAAAAUCAAGACUCUGGGACAUUUGGUUCUUCUAAGUCACAUUUUUUCCCCAGUAUAUAAAGUCAAAUUUUUAUGUAAUUUUAUAUAAAUCACUUUUAAAUAAAAAAAAUUAAUAAAAUAUCAACAAGAAU